GAUGAACGCUAGCGGCAGGCUUAACACAUGCAAGUCGAGGGGUAGAACACUUCGGUGUUUGAGACCGGCGCACGGGUGCGUAACGCGUAUGCAAUCUGCCUUGUACAAAGGGAUAGCCCAGAGAAAUUUGGAUUAAUACCUUAUAGUAUAUAGAUGUGGCAUCACAAUUAUAUUAAAGAUUUAUCGGUACAAGAUGAGCAUGCGUCCCAUUAGCUAGUUGGUAUGGUAACGGCAUACCAAGGCAAUGAUGGGUAGGGGUCCUGAGAGGGAGAUCCCCCACACUGGUACUGAGACACGGACCAGACUCCUACGGGAGGCAGCAGUGAGGAAUAUUGGUCAAUGGGCGCAAGCCUGAACCAGCCAUGCCGCGUGCAGGAUGAAGCAUCUAUGGUGUGUAAACUGCUUUUGUACGGGAAGAAACAACUCUUCGUGAAGAGUCUUGACGGUGCCGUAAGAAUAAGGAUCGGCUAACUCCGUGCCAGCAGCCGCCGCUG
RNAcentral lists this ribosomal RNA (494 nucleotides) under uncultured bacterium. Its description in RNAcentral is "partial 16S ribosomal RNA". It matches the Rfam family "Bacterial small subunit ribosomal RNA", at positions 28 to 523 of the family's 1533-position model. The record is from RNAcentral.